This 506-nucleotide ribosomal RNA is filed under the name Klebsiella pneumoniae. RNAcentral's name for it is "partial 23S ribosomal RNA". It matches the Rfam family "Bacterial large subunit ribosomal RNA", at positions 395 to 904 of the family's 2925-position model. Lineage: Bacteria; Pseudomonadati; Pseudomonadota; Gammaproteobacteria; Enterobacterales; Enterobacteriaceae. The record is from RNAcentral.
UCUUGAGUGGAUCCUGAGUACGACGGAGCACGUGGAAUUCCGUCGGAAUCCGGGAGGACCAUCUCCCAAGGCUAAAUACUCUCUAGUGACCGAUAGUGAACCAGUACCGUGAGGGAAAGGGGAAAAGUACCCCGGAAGGGGAGUGAAAGAGAACUUGAAACCGUGUGCUUACAAGUAGUCAGAGCCCGUUAAUGGGUGAUGGCGUGCCUUUUGUAGAAUGAACCGGCGAGUUACGAUCUGAUGCAAGGUUAAGCAGCAAAUGUGGAGCCGCAGCGAAAGCGAGUCUGAAUAGGGCGUUGAGUAUUUGGUCGUAGACCCGAAACCAGGUGAUCUACCCAUGACCAGGCUGAAGUUCAGGUAACACUGAAUGGAGGGCCGAACCGACUUACGUUGAAAAGUGAGCGGAUGAGUUGUGGGUAGCGGAGAAAUUCCAAUCGAACCUGGAGAUAGCUGGUUCUCUCCGAAAUAGCUUUAGGGCUAGCCUCAAGUGAUGAUUAUUGGAGGUA